GCUGAGCACAAUGUAGGCGCUCUAAGACUAAUGAAAGAAUCAAAUCAGGUGUGUGAGUGAUUCAGCAAGAAGUUGAAUUAGAGCCAGCUGCUUCGUCUGAGUUGGGUUAAGUCAGAGGGGGAGGGUUGAUAUUGGGUAAUCAGAACAAAACGAGCUGGAGGGCCAGCCACCUGCUUAGUCGGAGUAAGAAUGCCUGCAGAGACCUGGACCAGAGUGGGCAGAAUGGAGGGCCUAAAUAGUGUUCCUUGGAGAGAAAAUUACCCUGGGAAUGAAUAAACAAGAGCAAUGCAAAUGAUAUCCACGACUGUUACAGAUGCUUCGUGGAGGUUCAAAAAGACUACAGAUCAAGGCCAGUGACCUUCUACACAUGGUGGACACUCCAGCCUCUGCUCAAUCUCCAUCCACACUUAAAGGAAAUAGCCAACUCUUGGCCAACCUUCAGGCCUGGGAAGAGGCUCAAGCAGACACUGAAGACGGACUUAAGCAUGACCAAGGACCAGGGUAUAUACACCAGACAACAGAGCCGUUUCAUUUUGGGGGCUCGUUUGGGAUCAGAAUCAGAAUGGAAGGUAGAAACAUCAGAGUGGCUAUACGAUGUCCGGAAGUGGUGGGUUCUUGGUCUCACUGACUUCAAAAAUGAAGACGAAGACGUGGACUCUGGCGGUGAGUGUUACAGUUCUUAAAGGCGGUGUGUCCGGAGUUCAUUCCUUAUAAUGUUGGGAGUUUCUUCCUUAUGGUGGGUUUGUGGUCUCGCUGGCUCCGGAGUGAAGCUGCAGACCUUCGCGGUGAGUGUUACAGCUCUUAAGGCGGCACGUCUGGAGUUGCUGGAUCCUCCCGGUGCGUUUGUGGUCUCGCUGACUUCAGGACUGAAGCUGCAAACCUUUGCCGUGAGUGUUACAGCUUAUAAAAGCAAUGUGGACCCACAGAGAGAACAGCAGCAAGAUUUAUUGGAAAGAGAUAAAGAAUAAGGCUUCCACACUGUGGGAGGGGACCGGAGGGGGUUGCCACUGCUGGCUCCGGCAGCCUGCUUUUAUUCUCUUAUCUGGCCCCACCCACAUCCUGCUGAUUGGUAGAGCCCAGUGGUCUGUUUUGACAGGGUGCUGAUUGGUGCAUUUACAAUCCCUGAGCUAGACACAAAGGUUCUCCAAGUCCCCACCAGAUUAGCUAGAUACAGAGUGUCCAUUGGUGCAUUCACAAACCCUGACCUAGACACAGGGUGCUGAAUGGUGUGUUUACAAACCUUAAGCUAGAUACAGAGUGCCGAUUGGUGUUUUUACAAUCCCUUAGCUAGACAUAAAGGUUCUCCACGUCCCCACCAGACUCAGGAGCCCAGCUGGCUUCACCCAGUGGAUCCCGCCCAGGGGCUGCAGGUGGAGCUGCCUGCCAGUCCCGCGCCGUGUGCCUGCACUCCUUAGCCCUUGGGUGGUGGAUGGGACUGGGCGCCGUGGAGCAAGAGGCGGCGCUCAUCCCGGAGGCUCCGGCGGCACAGGAGCCCACGGAGAGGAGGAGGCUCAGGCAUGGCGGGCUGCAGGUCCCAAGCCCUGCCCCGCGGGAAGGCAGCUAAGGGCUGGCGAGAAAUUGAGCACAGCAGCUGCUGGCCCAGGUGCUAAGCCCCUCAGUGCCUGGGGCCGGUGGGGCCGGCUGGCCGCUCAGAGUGCGGGGUCCGCCCAGCCCACGCCCACCUGGAACUUGCGCUGGCCCGCAAGCACCGCGUGCAGACCCAGUUCCCUCCCGCGCCUCUCCCUCCACACCUCCCAGCAAGCUGAGGGAGCCGGCUCCGGCCUUGGCCAGC
RNAcentral lists this long non-coding RNA (1792 nucleotides) under Homo sapiens (human). RNAcentral's name for it is "HSALNT0163045". Lineage: Eukaryota; Metazoa; Chordata; Mammalia; Primates; Hominidae. The record is from RNAcentral.